RNAcentral lists this long non-coding RNA (777 nucleotides) under Danio rerio (zebrafish). Its description in RNAcentral is "si:ch73-381a20.2 (ENSDARG00000095980.3)". Lineage: Eukaryota; Metazoa; Chordata; Actinopteri; Cypriniformes; Danionidae. The record is from RNAcentral.
CUUUGGCUCUCUGUAAACAACACGACGCUUGACCACAGUCAAAACAAACCUUUCUGAGCGUUUUAAAGAUAUAAAAGUAAAUUUCCUGCAGGUGACAGUCAGUGAGAGCCUUUAAAUGUCACUUAUCAGCACACAUUUCAGCCCUUUCAAGCAAAAAAUGCGACUAUCACUGGAUAAUGUGCAGGAAUGCUGGACACUCCAUCACCUGUUUGUCCGAGCCAUCACCGCUGUGUUGUCUUACCGCCCCAGCAUGGUCCUUUCCUUUGCCGCUCAGUUGUCUUACCACCCCAGAUGAGCUUGUGAUUCAUUGAACACAGCUGGCAGAUCCUUUAGGGUUCAUCAGUCCAACUGCUUCUGAGCUGGACCUGAGAGAGACAUCUAGUGCUCAAUGCUGAAAUUACAGCUCAUUCACAAACAAAUGAGUGGAAUAUUGUUGCAGGUAAGGUAAAAAACACAAUCAUCAUGACAAUUGUAAAUAAACUUUUUAAUAAAAAUACGGCUCCUCAUAUUUGACGUUUUUAGUCUCUAACCACUUUUAAAUUAGUGCCACUGAGUACACAGUAGCGUAGCAGGACGCCUCCAGGUCAAAGUGCAGUGACAGACACGUGUGUGUGAUAGACCCGUCUGCAGGCUAUAUGUGAUGUUCUGUGGCUUAGCAAGCAGGGGUCGAUAACUUCCUGGGAUGAGAGGACCUCAUUCUUCUCCUCAUCUGAAGUCACAACAUGGAUCUGCAGCACAGAAAAUUAAGACAAUUAAACAAAUGAAAAUAAGUCAAAU